UCGUAACAAGGUUUCCGUAGGUGAACCUGCGGAAGGAUCAUUGUCGAAACCUGCACAAGCAGAAAGACCGGCGCACUUGUAUGAAAACCCCGAGGUGCAGAGCUAGUCUAUGCACCUCAAUAUAACGAACCCCGGCGCGGAUUGCGCCAAGGAAUAUGAACAAUAGCGUGUUGCUAGCCACUCGGUCUACCGACGUGCUCGCAACAUCGUGUCGUUUUGAUACUAAAAGAAUGACUCUCGGCAACGGAUAUCUCGGCUCUCGCAUCGAUGAAGAACGUAGCGAAAUGCGAUACUUGGUGUGAAUUGCAGAAUCCCGUGAACCAUCGAGUCUUUGAACGCAAGUUGCGCCCGAAGCCUUCGGGCCAAGGGCACGUCUGCCUGGGCGUCACACAUUGCGUCGCCCCAACCUCAAACACGAGGAUAUGGGGCGGACUAUGGCCCCCCGUGUGCUUCUCGCUCGCGGUCGGCCUAAAUGCAGUCCCCUGUGUAUGCGAAUUCGCGACGGUUGGUGGUGUUCUUUAUGGCCCCGUGCCUCUAAGCAUCGCGUUGCGUAUUUUGUGUUCAUUGGUUGUCAUAGGACCCAUGAGAGGGAACACCUCUACACCCUUGAGACCCCAGGUCAGGCGGGACUACCCGCUGAGUUUAAGCAUAUC
This 653-nucleotide ribosomal RNA is filed under the name Koenigia delicatula. Its description in RNAcentral is "eukaryotic LSU rRNA". The stretch from base 233 to 388 matches the Rfam family "5.8S ribosomal RNA". Lineage: Eukaryota; Viridiplantae; Streptophyta; Magnoliopsida; Caryophyllales; Polygonaceae. The record is from RNAcentral.